GAUGAACGCUGGCGGCGUGCCUAAUACAUGCAAGUCGAGCGAACAGAUGAGGAGCUUGCUCCUCUGACGUUAGCGGCGGACGGGUGAGUAACACGUGGAUAACCUACCUAUAAGACUGGGAUAACUUCGGGAAACCGGAGCUAAUACCGGAUAAUAUAUUGAACCGCAUGGUUCAAUAGUGAAAGACGGUUUUGCUGUCACUUAUAGAUGGAUCCGCGCCGCAUUAGCUAGUUGGUAAGGUAACGGCUUACCAAGGCAACGAUGCGUAGCCGACCUGAGAGGGUGAUCGGCCACACUGGAACUGAGACACGGUCCAGACUCUUACGGGAGGCAGCAGUAGGGAAUCUUCCGCAAUGGGCGAAAGCCUGACGGAGCAACGCCGCGUGAGUGAUGAAGGUCUUCGGAUCGUAAAACUCUGUUAUUAGGGAAGAACAAAUGUGUAAGUAACGAUGCACGUCUUGACGGUACCUAAUCAGAAAGCCACGGCUAACUACGU
RNAcentral lists this ribosomal RNA (496 nucleotides) under uncultured bacterium. RNAcentral's name for it is "partial 16S ribosomal RNA". It matches the Rfam family "Bacterial small subunit ribosomal RNA", at positions 28 to 506 of the family's 1533-position model. The record is from RNAcentral.